RNAcentral lists this ribosomal RNA (279 nucleotides) under uncultured bacterium. RNAcentral describes it as "partial 16S ribosomal RNA". It matches the Rfam family "Bacterial small subunit ribosomal RNA", at positions 506 to 784 of the family's 1533-position model. The record is from RNAcentral.
UGCCAGCCGCCGCGGUAACACGAACUGCGCAAACGUUAUUCGGAAUCACUGGGCUUAAAGAGUUCGUAGGCGGCUAAGCAGGUGAGGUGUGAAAUCCCUCGGCUCAACCGAGGAACUGCGCUUCAAACCGCUUGGCUUGAGGGAGACAGAGGUGAGCGGAACUGAUGGUGGAGCGGUGAAAUGCGUUGAUAUCAUCAGGAACACCAGUGGCGAAGGCGGCUCACUGGGUCUCUUCUGACGCUGAGGAACGAAAGCUAGGGGAGCGAACGGGAUUAGAUA